CACGUAGGUGGCUAGCGUUAUUCGGAUUUACUGGGCGUAAAGGGUCCGCAGGGGGCCUGGCAAGUCUGCCGUGAAAGGCCGGGGCUCAACCCCGGCACUGCGGUGGAAACAGCCGGGCUGGAGUCAGUGAGGGGCAGACGGAACACCUGGUGUAGCGGUGGAAUGCGUGGAUAUCAGGUGGAACACCUAUGGCGAAGGCGGUCUGCUGGCACAUGACUGACCCUCAUGGACGAAAGCGUGGGUAGCAAACAGGAUUAGAUACC
RNAcentral lists this ribosomal RNA (263 nucleotides) under uncultured bacterium. RNAcentral describes it as "partial 16S ribosomal RNA". It matches the Rfam family "Bacterial small subunit ribosomal RNA", at positions 524 to 786 of the family's 1533-position model. The record is from RNAcentral.